This 536-nucleotide ribosomal RNA is filed under the name uncultured bacterium. RNAcentral describes it as "partial 16S ribosomal RNA". It matches the Rfam family "Bacterial small subunit ribosomal RNA", at positions 355 to 883 of the family's 1533-position model. The record is from RNAcentral.
UGGGGAAUUUUGGACAAUGGGCGAAAGCCUGAUCCAGCAAUGCCGCGUGUGUGAAGAAGGCCUUCGGGUUGUAAAGCACUUUUGUCCGGAAAGAAAUCCUUGGCUCUAAUACAGUCGGGGGAUGACGGUACCGGAAGAAUAAGCACCGGCUAACUACGUGCCAGCAGCCGUGGUAAUACGUAGGGUGCAAGCGUUAAUCGGAAUUACUGGGCGUAAAGCGUGCGCAGGCGGUUUGCUAAGACCGAUGUGAAAUCCCCGGGCUCAACCUGGGAACUGCAUUGGUGACUGGCAGGCUAGAGUAUGGCAGAGGGGGGUUAGAAUUCCACGUGUAGCAGUGAAAUGCGUAGAGAUGUGGAGGGAUACCGAUGGCGAAGGCAGCCCCCUGGGCAAAUACUGACGCUCAUGCACGAAAGCGUGGGGAGCAAACAGGAUUAGAUACCCUGGUAGUCCACGCCCUAAACGAUGUCAACUAGUUGUUGGGGAUUCAUUUCCUUAGUAACGUAGCUAACGCGUGAAGUUGACCGCCUGGGGAGUAC